This is a non-coding RNA of Paramuricea clavata, 1384 nucleotides long. The record is from the annotation of a GenBank genome assembly. NCBI's taxonomy places the organism in Eukaryota, Metazoa, Cnidaria, Anthozoa, Malacalcyonacea, Plexauridae.
CUUGAAUUACAAUUUCUAAAACUAUAUAAUAAUCACAAGCAAUUUAUUAUAUUUACGUCUAUUAUAUUACUAUAGUUACGACCUUUGCUGCAUUGUGUCCAUUGUAUUGCCGUUAAAAUAGUUUUUUUAUCAUUUAAAAAGCUGGAAUAUAUGUGCCUACGUAAUAUUCUGCCCACGCGUACGUUACUUCAUUAUGGAGUCCCGAGGUAGGAGUUCGCGAGGGGAGGGGAGUGGUGGCCUAAAUCCCAUUUCUCGCCCAUCUUUUAAACCAAACCCCCGUCCCAAAUGUGAAAUUGAAAAAAAACAGGUUGAAUGAAAACCCAAAGAAAUGUAUUUCAUGUACAGUGUGUAUAAAAAAAAAACUGACUACAGAUUUGAAAUUGCUCUCAAUUUCGCAAAACAGCUAUUAGUAUCCAGUUUUUGAUAUAUAUAGUUUCUUUGGGUACUUAUAAUGUAGAAUAAUGGAAGAAAAUUCUCAAACUUAACUUUUGUAAACCAGGGGUGUGUGUUUUUUCAACAAACUAAAGAUGGCUUGCGCACGAAAUUUAAAAGCUUUAAUCGUAUUUUGAGUUAAUGGAUGGAAACUUUGUUGGGUUUGUUGCGUGAAUAGUUAAAGGGCUUAAACUGAAGCAAAUUUUCUGAAAUUUCGUGCAAUUAAACACCCAACACAUUUUCACCCAUUAAAGGGGAAGUCAAGUCCGUAAUGUAAACAAACGGUUUGUUUACAUUUUGAACUGCUGCAUUUUUUAAAAUAUGAUGUACUGUCUGAAUAUCUAACACCAUUUUGGUUCGCUAUGCUUCUAAAUGAAUAUGAAAUAAAGUUUAUGUUCAGAAAAAUUCGAAACAUUCGAAAUUUGGGCAAUUUUCACAUUAGAGGUCCUCUCAUUGUUAUGCGCAGAACAGAUGCGCAGAACGGACUUGACUUCCCCUUUAACUUACAAUACAAUUAAAGCUUUUAAAUCACGUGCGCAAGCCAUUUUUAGUUUGUUGGAACCCCGGUUUUACAAAUUUGAGUUCGAGAAAUUUUUUUCAUUAUUCUACAUUAUAAGUACCCAAAGAAACUGUAUAUAUCAAAAACUGGAUACUAAUAGUUGUUUUGCGAAAUUGAGAGCAAUUUCAAAUCUGUUCAGUUUUUUUUAUACACCCUGUUUUUGUGUUGAUUUCGUAGCUCUGCGUUCAUUUGCUCUCUUUACGGCUAGUUUGCCGCGUGAUUAAAGGUUCCAACGAAUUAAGAAGUCUAUAAAUAUUUGUCAUUUUGUGCAAUUAAAUACUGACGUGUAGCAUGGAAUACACUUACAUGACCCGCCAAGUCCGCCGUGUGCUGACUCACAAUGGAGCCGAAAAAAUACAAUGCAACGUUCAUGGACUUUUCCAUCAAUCGUAG